AGCGAACGCUGGCGGCAGGCUUAACACAUGCAAGUCGAACGGUCCUUCGGGAUAGUGGCGGACGGGUGAGUAACACGUGGGAACGUACCCUUAGGUUCGGAACAACACAGGGAAACUUGUGCUAAUACCGGAUAAGCCCUUCGGGGGAAAGAUUUAUCGCCUUUGGAGCGGCCCGCGUAGGAUUAGCUUGUUGGUGAGGUAAUGGCUCACCAAGGCUACGAUCAGUAGCUGGGCUGGGAGGGAGGGCAGCCACACCUGGGACUGAGCACCGGCCAGGACUCCUCCGGGGGCAGCCGUGGGGAAACUUGGCCAAAUGGGCAAAGGCCUGACGAGCCCAUCCGCCGGGAUUGAGGAGGUCCUAGGAUUGUAAAAUCCUUUCACCGGGGACGAUAAUGACGGUACCCGGAGAAGAAGCCCCGGCUAACUUCGUGCCAGCCGCCGCAGUAA
This 447-nucleotide ribosomal RNA is filed under the name uncultured bacterium. RNAcentral's name for it is "partial 16S ribosomal RNA". It matches the Rfam family "Bacterial small subunit ribosomal RNA", at positions 29 to 523 of the family's 1533-position model. The record is from RNAcentral.